AUUGAACGCUGGCGGCAGGCUUAACACAUGCAAGUCGAGCGGAGUGAUGGUGCUUGCACUAUCACUUAGCGGCGGACGGGUGAGUAAUGCUUAGGAAUCUGCCUAUUAGUGGGGGACAACAUCUCGAAAGGGAUGCUAAUACCGCAUACGUCCUACGGGAGAAAGCAGGGGAUCACUUGUGACCUUGCGCUAAUAGAUGAGCCUAAGUCGGAUUAGCUAGUUGGUGGGGUAAAGGCCUACCAAGGCGACGAUCUGUAGCGGGUCUGAGAGGAUGAUCCGCCACACUGGGACUGAGACACGGCCCAGACUCCUACGGGAGGCAGCAGUGGGGAAUAUUGGACGAUGGGGGGAACCCUGAUCUAGCCAUGCCGCGUGUGUGAAGAAGGCCUUAUGGUUGUAAAGCACUUUAAGCGAGGAGGAGGCUCUUUUGGUUAAUACCCAAGAUGAGUGGACGUUACUCGCAGCAUAAGCACCGGCUAACUCUGUGCCAGCAGCCGCCGUAA
This 503-nucleotide ribosomal RNA is filed under the name uncultured bacterium. RNAcentral's name for it is "partial 16S ribosomal RNA". It matches the Rfam family "Bacterial small subunit ribosomal RNA", at positions 30 to 523 of the family's 1533-position model. The record is from RNAcentral.